RNAcentral lists this ribosomal RNA (492 nucleotides) under uncultured bacterium. RNAcentral describes it as "partial 16S ribosomal RNA". It matches the Rfam family "Bacterial small subunit ribosomal RNA", at positions 29 to 507 of the family's 1533-position model. The record is from RNAcentral.
AGUGAACGCUGGCGGUAGGCCUAACACAUGCAAGUCGAACGGCAGCACAGUAAGAGCUUGCUCUUACGGGUGGCGAGUGGCGGACGGGUGAGGAAUACAUCGGAAUCUACUUUUUCGUGGGGGAUAACGUAGGGAAACUUACGCUAAUACCGCAUACGACCUACGGGUGAAAGCAGGGGAUCUUCGGACCUUGCGCGAUUGAAUGAGCCGAUGUCGGAUUAGCUAGUUGGCGGGGUAAAGGCCCACCAAGGCGACGAUCCGUAGCUGGUCUGAGAGGAUGAUCAGCCACACUGGAACUGAGACACAGUCCAGACUCCUACGGGAGGCAGCAGUGGGGAAUAUUGGACAAUGGGCGCAAGCCUGAUCCAGCCAUACCGCGUGGGUGAAGAAGGCCUUCGGGUUUUAAAGCCCUUUUGUUGGGAAAGAAAAGCAGCAGGUUAAUACCCCGCUGUUCUGACGGUACCCAAAGAAUAAGCACCGGCUAACUUCGUG